Non-coding RNA from Peromyscus maniculatus bairdii (prairie deer mouse), 662 nucleotides. The record is from RefSeq and is a predicted model, not a curated record. NCBI's taxonomy places the organism in Eukaryota, Metazoa, Chordata, Mammalia, Rodentia, Cricetidae.
GUUCAGAACACAGCCAGCCACUAAGCCCCGCCUUCCUUGUGUGACAGGUAAAACACGGAACCAACAACCUGGAAAGCCAAGGCACACAUUUCUGGAAACACGUUCUCUAGUGUGUGAGCAGGACCAAGAGAUCUGCCGGGCAAGCUGAAGUGUAUUUUUAAACUCUAUACAACACAGAGAUGCUACCUGAUGACUCUGCCUAAGCCACGGUAUAAUGCCUUUGUCUCGGCACGGUCAGAAUUGGUUGUGGAACCUCGAGGCAACGGAGAUGGUGGGACUAUGACAGUGAUGGUGGGGGCCCUGUGUGCUGAGUACUCAUGCGCUCGUGCUAGGGGACAUGACUCAUCAGACUGUUCCACAGUGAGUGUGACCUCAGGAGGUACUCACAGAGGCCAGAGCCCCUGGCCCAUCCUCCAUGGUGCUGGGGACCAAGAAGCCACAGUCUCCUGGACAACCAGAUGAUCGCCCUGAAAAUGCCCUCAAUUGUGGAAUCUUUUGUGGAGGUUUGUCUAGCGUCUUCUAGUGUAGGGGUUCCCCUGCUUACUAAAGAAGACACUUGAACUGAAGGCACUAAGCCAAAUGAAAAAAAAAUCUGUUACUAAAAUUCAAGGUCAUUUUAUCUUUCUUUAAAAAAAAAUACAAACCUAUAUCUACUCAUUAAA